GUGAGUGAAAAAAUCUAUAAAAAAAAGUUGAUAGUAAAAUUGAGAAGUUGAAUAUUACGGUUUAAAUAUGAUUGUAUGUAUGUAUUUUUUUUUUAGAUUUUAUAUAAAAGUAUAAACAAACGAAAAUAUCCUCUAAAUGAUAUUUUUUUUGUUUUGUAAAAAUAAUGAAGUUUUGGUAAUUUUACAACUAAGUUUUCUAUUGGAUGACACUAAAUUAAAAAUGAUAAAAAAUUAUUAUUUUUCAUUUGCAAAUCAACUACAAACAAAAUAUUUCAUUUGUAGAACUAUUGAGGUUGAAAAAGUUCUCGGACCACAACAAUGAGAGCAUUGUUUCUCAAGUGUGAAGGGAUAUUGGUGAGCCAAGGCGAAAUGUUUUCAAAGAUGACCUUAGAUGGCAACAACGUUCCAGAUGAUUCUGGAUGAGGUGUCAGGACGACGUGUGAACUUUAAGAGAUGAUCUCGAGAUGGUUACAAAUGGGAUGAGGAGCUAUGGGAGAGCUUCAAGAUGAUUCGAUGGGUGAUCUUGUUGCUAAGGUCCUUCCUGAGGUAGUGAAUCAUCAGAGAUAGCCUUGGAGAUGAUUGAGUGAGAUGAUUCUGAUGUGACUUAGCCUCCCGACAGAGUAGAUCACUAAGUUAGUCCUUGAUGAGAUCAUGAAAGAUUUCCAUGAUCUCAUAGGAGAUGAUCAAUUGAGAUGACCAUAGGAGAUAAUCAAGUGAGAUGAUCCUGACGAGGUUUGGCCCUUUGGUGUAUUAUUUAUUAUGUCAAAUACAGAAAAAAAGAAAGAGAUAUGCGAUAGGAUUAUAUAAUAAAUAUUGUUUAUUUAGUUUCCAUUUUCCAAGAGAGCUUGGAAAGUAAAAAAAGAAGGUUUGAAUGUAAUUUGUCCAAGUUCAAACUUUUUUAAAAAAUAUUUAUUAUAUAUGGUUGAAUCGGCUUACAACCUAUUGAAUAAGCGGACAAAAAAUUACUGAUUUGGUCGAUUUAACUAAUAGUUUGAUCUUGAAAACCAUGCCCAACAUAGCAAAUCAACUAACUUGUCCUCUAGAUAUGAUCUCAACAUGGCUAGGCUUCCCUUGGGGUAGCAAAUCCACUAAGCUAGCCUAUGGAGAUUAUCUCAACGUGGCUAGACUUUUCCCAGCAUAGAGGAUCAACUAACUUGGCUUCUAAUGAUGAUGUCAACGUGGCUAGGCUUCUCCCAGCGUAGCGGAUCGACUAAGUUAGACUCUCGGGAGAUGAUCAGGUUGAUCUCAGACUAUGGAGACUUCAAGGACGUCUGUAGAGAAAGGGAUAAUGUUAGCGGGCACCAGAGGACUUCCGAGGCAUACUCCAACUCAACUCAAUGAUCAGGUAUAACUUAAUGCAAGAAAAGAAGUUUUGAAAAAGAGGGGUAGAAGAUGCUUUUCAAUUGCUAUGUAGUGAAGUAUGACUGGUCUUUCUGUGAAUGGCAGUGAAUCCUUCCAUUUAUAGCCAAUGGUGUAGUAACUUGGUGCCAUGUGACGUUUCAUCAUUAGCUUGGUGUUGAGGUAUCUUUCUGAGGUGCAUUGAACCUUUGUCAAGUGGUUUUGCAAGUGGGAACCAGGUCUUAGAGGGUCUUCCGUUUGGGGCCUUGCCUUGGGCCUCGCCCAAGGCUUGUCUUGGUGAGCUUUCGUUGGAUUAGCCAUGUUGGGUGCUUUCGAGAUCAUCUUGAGGGUUUUGGUUGUCCGUUACCUUCUGUUAUCAACUUUUAUUUUCAUCCCAACAGGAACCAUAAAAUAUUUAAAGAUAUCAACUUUGUUAAAUAGUAGAUGAAAUUUUUUAAAUUGUAAAUGUUAAUUAUGUUAAAAUUUUACUUUAUUUGAUUUUUUUAAAAAAUACUUGGAUUAAAUUAAUUCAGUUAAUUGUAAAGGGACUAAUUUGAUAAAGAUCUUAUAAUAGAGGAACAUGUCAAGUAAUUUCAACCAUGUAUAUUAUAUUUUAAUUUUGAUUGAGUUGAUCCAAUCACCAAUUCAAUUAAUAUAUGACUAAAAAAUCUUUCAUUUUUAAAAAGUUACAAAAUUUAAUAUAAGAGCGAUUUUAUUUUAUUUUUUUAUAUUUUUAUAUAAAAUUAAUAAAAAAAAUGUUUAAACCCAAUAUAGGAUUCGACAUGAAACUCCAAUAUUUUCAAGGAAUUAAAUUUUCCAUUUAAACUAAAAUUUCAUUUGAUUUUAACAUCAAAAUUUUAAAUAAAAUAUAGUUUUUGUGUAUUUUUUUUUCACACUGUACAUGUCAUAAUAUAGUAUAUCUAUACUAUAAUAAAAAUCCUAAUUGAGUUAAUGUUAUAAAUUAAUUGGGUACUAACUUAGUUAAAAAUGACUAAAUUACCUUUUUUAAACAAAUAAAAAUAUAAUUAUAGGUGCAUUUAUGUCUUUUAAUAAUUUAUACAAAAAUUUUAAAAGAAAUAUUUUAAAAUAAAUUAUCAAAGUUUGAACUUGAAAUACUCCACGAGGUGUUAUGUAUUAUUUAUUUAUACUAUAAUUAAGCUCUUGAUUGAAUUGGUGUCAAGCCAACAAGAUACCAAUUCAGUUAGGAAAUGAUUAAAGGAUACAUCAUUUUUUACAAAAUGAUAAAUGUAACUACGAGGGCGUUCUAUUUUUUUUAUAUAUUAAAUAAAACAAAAAAUAAUUAUCCAUACAUGAUAGGAUUUAAACAUGAGGAUCAUAGAAUUCAAAGCUUUAAUCGUACCAUUUUGAUUUUCGACUAAAACCAUAUUUGGUUUUUAAUAUAAAUUUCUUAUAGAUAUUUUAUAUAUAUAUACAUGAUGGUAUUAAAAGCAUGCAUGAACCUUGAAUUUAACAUCUUUUAACUCUUAACCAACCUUUAUUUUUUUUCUUACAUAAAUGUUCAUAUCUUUCACUCAAAUUUGGAUUAUAUUGUGACACAUUAUACUUUUAAAGCCUAAAAUGCAACCCCAUUUCCUCAAAAUUGGACCAUAUUGUGGCACAUUAUGCUUUUGAAGUCUAAAAUGCAACCCCAUCUCCUCAAGAUUGGACCAUGAUGGCCUUGAAUUUUGAGAGAAGCAAGACAAAGGAGUCACCAAUAGAAGUUGAGUUUCAAUUAACAAUUAAGCAGCUACCUUUCCAACUUAUAAGAGUCGAGAUAUGUUAAUUAUUAUUUUUUACACUAAAAAUUUAAAAGUUAAAAUAUGCUCCAAAUUCUUAUAUUCUCUGUAUAUUUGAAAAUUAAUCUCCAUAUCUUUGUUUUCAAAAUUUUAGUCCUUUUAUUUUUCAGAUUUAAAAUUCAAGUCCAGUUAUUAGAACCAUUAAAAUUCAUAUGUUAGAUUCACUAUUAUGACAUAUUGAUAUUGCAAAAAAAAAAACAAAAAAAAAACUAAUUAACUUAAUAGCCAUGUCAUUGUACUACUAAGAUUUAAUAGAGAAUUUUAAUGAUGUUUACAAUAUUUAAAAUAUUCACGCUAAUAUUUUAAUCAAAAUAAAGUAUUUAGGUUAACUAAAGACAUUAUAAAAAGUUGAUAUACCAAAUUAUGUUAAAAAUUAAAGCAUAGAGGUAAAACUUUAAAUUUGAUCAUAAUAUAGGGAUCAAAACUAAAAUUUGACCAUUGCUAUAAAAUCUUAAAAAUAAAAAUAAAAAGAAUGUGUAUUUAUACCAUGAUAUUAUAAUAGUUGAAGUUUUGGAUUAUGCCAAAAAUUAAAAUAUAAAUUUCAAUUUUAUACAUAACAUAAGGACCAAAAUUAAAAUAUGGGUUAAAAUUGCCUUUGGUUUGUUGGAAAAUUACCAACACAAAGAUGGAAAAGCUAAUAAAGAAUCUUGCAUUAAUAAACAUCCCCAAAUUGAAGCAAUUAUUACAAAGUUCUUAGUGACUAGAAAUUUUUGAGUUAUUUAAGAAAGGCAAAAUUUACUAACAAUUCCUUACUUGAAAAGCUAAUUGAAAUAUCAGAUUUUGGAGGAACAUAUCAAAAAUAUUCACCACAAGUUGCUUCUAUUUCAGUCCCUAUAAGCAUCUUCCUCCAUACCCUGCAUUUCUAAAUAAUGCUUGCUUUAUAUCUUCACAACUUAUUAAUGUUCUCUGUUCCAAAUCCUGCAAUGUUAACCAAAAAAAGGUAAUUAAGAUUGCAAAUUUAAAAGUUAUGGAACAAAAAUGGUAAAAGUACUAUGGAAGACCUUGUAUUAGGAGUUAGAUCACAUUUUACUCUUUAUAUUAAAAAAAUAUACUAUUAGUCAUUGGACGUUAAAUCGAAGAGUAAACUAAUCAUUUUCUUAAAAAAUCUAUCCAUUAAUAUGGUUGAAAAUCCUCAAAAAAUAUUUUAUAAUUAUUUUAAAAUCACAUCUAAAAUGAAACAAGACAAACACUAGAAAUAAGUAGAAUUUUUAACAGAAUGACUAAGUUACUCUUUGAUUUAAUCAUUUGCACUAAUUUACCUAAUUUGUGAGUUGAUGAACAAACUGCAUUAAUCCUUGUAUUAAUGAUCAAAUUGCAUUUUUCUCUAUCUACUUAAAAUAAUGAGCAAGUUAAUCCAUGUAUGUUAGAUUAAAGAGUAAACUGAUUUUUUUAAAAAUGGCAUAAAUGUAAAUAAUGGACUAUCAUUUGUCAAAAUUCAUUUGACAUAGGGUUUUAAAUAGUGCUUCACAGUAAAAAAAAAUAGAUAGAAUUUUUAAUAAAAGGAUCUGUUUAUAUUUUAAUAUGAUGUACAAAGAUUAAUUUAUCUAAUUUUUAGUUAGAUAAUAAAAUAUAAAUCUUACUACUAAUACAAUUACCUACAUGAUAUUUUUACCGGAGAGAAAUAGUAAUAAAAUUUAUUUCCUUUUACCUGAGAACAAGAUGCUUGCAAUGCAAAAUCAUUGAAACAGCUAAUAACACACUGUUGAAUCUCAAGGCCUAAUGCUUCCAGUGUUGUCACUGUGGAUAACAACAACCCUGGUUUCCCACUGCAACAAAUCUCAAUCCUUGUCUCCCCUUCUCUUCUUUCCACCUCAAACUGCACCCAAAACAUGUUCAUCACUUCAUUUCAAGAUUUGGGUAUUAGAGAAAAUGGUGCAUUUUUAACCAAAAAAAUAAAAUAAAAAGAGCCAAUUACCUUUGGUGUAUUUCUCACAAAGAUCUCAUUUGAUUUCCCACCCUUGAAAAUGUGAGCCAUGUUUAACUCAUUUGAAUCUGUUUCAAUCUCUUGCUGCAAACUUUUAAUCCUCUCCAAUAGCUCCUUUGUAUAAUCUAUAGUAUCUCCAAGUAUAGAUGUUCUAUCCAUCUAUUAAGAAAAAACCCAAAUUAGUCCGAGAAUUUAUUCACACAUUUAUACAGGACGGGACUCGAAUUCUUUCACCUUGCUGAUCUUGGGAACAAUUGAUCUUAACAUGGAAAGGCGAUCAUUUAGUCUCUUUCUUCUCCUUCUUUCAGCCAUUAGAUUCUUUGAAGGUUGUUGUCCUUCCAUCUUCUUACCUCGGUUCUUCCUGUCUAAACAAGCAGCUGCCUCAUUGUUGAAAACUGGUGCUUCUGGUGAUUGAAAUGGCUCAGCUUUGCAAGGGACUUGAACAUCUAGCUUGUUAAGUUCAUCAGCAAGGAAACCAGAUUCUUCUUCUUCCAACAUAUUUGGAAAUGGAGGUGGUGUAUCAAAGGUGUUGUUUGAUGAAUCUGUGAGUUGUGGUGCUGAGAAUUCAUCGCCAAACGGGCAGUAAACUCCAUUGAAGUAACCCAAGUCUUGUUCCAAAGGCAAAGCUGUUGAGAAUUCAUGGCAGAAAGUAGUUGGAAACAAACUAGUUGAAAGGUUCAUAUCAUCAAAGCAAUCAAAGUUCCAUCCAUUAGAGAAAACUUCAUUCAUUUGUGUUGGAACUGUGUCCCAAUUUUCUCUUCUUAGAGCUAAUAAUUCCUCUAAGAAACUUUCUUCAUUGAUCUCCAUUUUUGCUUUUUCUCUCACUUUGGGAAUCGUGUCUAUUAUUAGGAGAUGCCUUGAGAAAAAGAAAGUCUCAACAAGUUGAGGAUUUUAUAGCUACAUAGAUUGAAAGUGGGGGAGUAUGAUAUAUCCAAUUUAUAUGAUUAUAGUAUGAUAUUUGUUGUAUUUAUUAGCCUAAGAGUGAAAUGGAAUCUGCCUUUUCCUUUCUUUGUAUGGGGUGAUUUCAUGUCUUUUUCACCGAAAUCUCUCCAAUAAUAAUGAUAUUAAAACCUAAUAUUUAAUUGGUAAUCCAUCUGAAACUUUGACCACAUUGUAUACAUGUAUCCGUCAGAAGUGAACAGCACCUUUCAAGUUCUUUCUACACGUGGGUUACCAUGUCAACAUUAUUAUAUAUAAUAUUAUUAAUCUACAAAUAAAUUUUUAAUAAUAUUAAUAAUUAUUUAAAUUAUAACAUAACAUUAAUAAUAAUAAAACCCAAUUAUAUGAAAUUAAAGUAUAAAUACUAAAGCGAAAAAAAGAAUGAUUAGUGGGGUCCCAUUUCCUUUGCCUCAAGAAAUUUGGCUUAAUCCACAAAUUCAAAGUUAGUUGUUAUGGCGUGUUUUGUUUCUUCUCAUCACUAAUUUUGGUAUUAUCUGCCCCAUUGGUUCUUUAUUAUAACAUAAUUAGCUAUAAAUCUGCCAUGUUUCUUGUUUUAUAAAAAAGGAAUGGGGACGUCUAUCCCAUUCUCAUCUCACCUGGUUUAACAAAUAUGAUAAGAAAGCUGAGGCCAAUAUAUAAACUGCAAGUGAACUGUUUGUUAAAGGGAUUGUUUUGGCUGAUGCAUAUGACUUUUAAUCAGUGCAUGAAUAAUAUGUAGACUCCACUAGUCAAUAGUGAUCUAUAGUCAUUAAUUAACUAUGUCUAGUGUUUAUAUUAGGCUGAUCUGGUUCACAAGGCUUGGCAUUUAUAUGCUUGUCUCCUCCUCUCCUCCUUUUCCAUUUCAUUUCCUGUCUUUUUGCCUCCUUAAUUUAGUCAACAGUUCCAUUUGUUUUUAAUAUAAUUUAACUUAACAUUUAAUCCAAUUUUUGUGGUUGUUUGUUGUGGAAGGGAGAUCAAUUUUGUUUGGAGAAGUCUGCAAACUGUUGUUUAUUGAGAUUUGUCUUCCAACUUUGUGAGUGCUUACAGAGGCGUCUUGACGAGGUGACAAGUUACAAAGUAAGAGUGCCUUGUCGAAAGCCUAAUAAGGUGAACCAUGCACAACACUAUAGGGCAUAGCUUCGAGUCCAACCAUGCAAAAUGCACAUGGUUUGCCUUAUUAGGCACCCGAUGAGGCGCUCCUACUCUAUGAAACUGUUGUGUUUCAAGUUACCUCUUCAAGCACUCAUAGAGCCAAGAAACAAAAAUCCCUCGCUGAGGACAAUAUUGACCUUUUGAGGGAUUCACUGACUCCUAUCGGGCGAUACUUCAUUGACUUUUUCUGAUAGAGUGUACUUCCCCUCUAUAUUUUAAAAAAAUUGAUAUCCGAUAAAUUUGAAGUUAAAAAAAGUGUAUCAUUAGUCAAUUAGGAAUAUAUUAUCUCUCUAGAAUUGAGAGCGUCUCUCUAUAGAGUUUUUUUUCUCAUUGUGAGAAGCAGUUAGAAGGUUGUUUUUUUUGUAUUGGGUAAUUCUAUUCUGAUUGCUUAGAGUUUUUUGCUUGAGUUUUAGGGUUAUUUCAGAGAUAAGAUAGGGGUGAAUGUGUAAGUUUUUUUUUAGGAUUUUUGUUUCACUAUUUAUUCAUUGUGUGGUUGAGUCAAGUUUGGUUUUUGAAUUUCUUUUUUGAGUCUUUUUCUUUUUCUUUUUCAAGUUCUAUUUUGAUAUUUUCUUGGAAUUAUUGUUUUUUAGAUCUACUAUUGACAAAGGGGAUAGAAAGGGAGCACUUUACUAUCCUCUAUCAAUUUGGGAAUCAAAUUAAAUCUUGAGGGAGGGAAUAGUUGUGGGAAUCGAAUUGGAACUAUUGGAUAAGGUGAUGUAGGAACUUGAUUUUUCAAAGGUAAGCAUAUGGAUUCAAAUCCAUAAUUUACCUUUAAAAACAUUAAUUGUGUAUAAUGUUGUUUUGAUUGGGGUAAGUAGGGAUUUGGUUAGGAUUGAUGGUGAUAUGUGGGGGGAAGGAUUGGGUAGAAAUUUUCUUAGAAUUCAAGUAGAUUUAAAUGUGAAUGAACCUCUAAUUCUAGGUUUCAAGUUCUCAGGAAGGGGAAUAAAAUGGUAUAGGUUUUGUAACACCCGUAACCCGUCUCCGUCACUGUAUUAGGGAUACCCGUCACCAGGCUGUGUGACUUUUGCUUUUCAAAUUUUGCAACUUUUUCUUAAACUUUCUGUUUUGUUUCAAAUUAGUCCCGAAUUACUUCUAAACUAUUUUUAGGGCCUUGAAGGCUCAAUUUAUGAAUAAAGUGCAUGUGAAUGAAUGAUUUAUCAUAUGUUUAAUUUAUUUAAAUAUUAUAAUGUUAAAUGUUUUUUAUUGUACGGUAAUGCUCUGUAACCUUAAUUCGACGAUAGAGACGAGUUAAAGGUGUUACAUUUAGUAGUAUCAGAGCUACGAUUUAUCUCAAUAUUUCACAUGUUCACAUGUUGUUAGUGUAGUAAGUAGAUACAUGGCCAAACCCGAAAAAUUACACUAGCAAGCUAUUAAGUGGAUUCUAAGAUAUUUGAGGGGGACAUCUAACACUUGUUUAGAACUUGAAAGAUGUUCAGAAAGUCUAGUCGGCUAUGUAGAUUAGGAUUAUGCCGGAGACUUAGACAAAAUGAGAUCUCUAACAAGUUAUUUCUUCACUUUUGUUAAUUGCACGAUUAGCUGGAAAGCCACCCUUUAGGCCAUUGUGACAUUAUUAACUACAGAGACAGAAUAUAUGGCUAUCACAAAAGGUUGUGAAAGAGGCCAUUUGGUUGAGAGGUCUAUUUAGGGAGCUGGUUGAUAAAAAUGACAAGACUAUUGCAUAUUGCGAUAGUUAAAGUACCAUCAAUCUCACUAAAGAUCAAAUGAAUCACGAAAGAAUAAAGCACAUAGACAUUCGAUAUCACUUUGUUCAGGAAGUGAUCGCUCAAGGAGAUGUUCAGAUGCACAAAAACGGCAUAGAAAACAACCUAACAGACAUGAUGACAAAAAGUCUUCCAAUUUCCAAGUUUAGGCAUUGCUUAGACUUGGUAAGCAUUCGAAAGAGAUGAGUUAGACCCCUGACGGGGCUCGACAAAGAAGGUGUUUUAGAAAUACGAGUCAAGGUAGAAAUAUGUGGAGUGUGCCUCGUAUUUGUGAUGAAACAGACAGUGGCGUCGUAACGAGAAAGAGUUGACGUCACAAUGACACGUCAACGACAUCUCGAUGAGAAAAGUCGCCUUGUCCAUGAUGACAUGAAGAAUGACAUCCUGACGAGGCAAUAUGCUAUGUCACAAUGUGUACUCAACUUAAUCGGGCUUCUUCUCAUCGUUAAGUACUGCUAUCUUUUCCUAAUCAAACUCUAAUCACUCUGGGAUAUUUCUAAUCAAAUUAGUCAUGAAUUUUAGUCUAUAAAUAGGCUUUUAGCAAUCCUCGAGGAUUUGAUUGAAAUUAAGAGAGAGUUUGUGGGAAUUUCAAGAAAACAUUGUAUUUUAGGUUCUGGGUUUGUUUAUUUCUCCAUCUUGUACUCUCUUUUUAGUUUUUUUCUAUUUUAGUGAAGCUUUUCUUUGCUCGUGGUUUUUUAUACUCUUCGAAAGGGUUUUUCAACGAAAAUAUUUAUGUUAGACUUUUAUUGUUUUUCGUUCUUAUUCGUUGCAUAAUUUGGGUUUAACCCAACAUGUUGUCUGUAGUUUGUAAAAAUUGAAUCAAAUUAAAAUUUUUUGGAUAAAAUUGCACAAAAUCAAAAUUCAUCUAUGACAUUGCACAUUGGACCAAAGUUUAUAUAUAAAUUUGAUAUUUAUUCCUUUUAAAGUAAAAUGAUUGAUUAAUUUCAAAAUUGGUUUAUAAAAUUUCUUAAAAAUUAAUAUUUAAUAAAUUUAAAAAUUAAAAUCAAGCUCCUCCAUUAAGAAAAGGGUUAUUAACAUUUCUAUUUUGGUCACCUAAUUAUGAAAGUUUUCAAUUUAGUUAUUAACGUUUUAGAUAAUUUUUAUUUAGGUCACUCACGUUUUAGAUCAUUUCCAUUUCGGUUGUCGAAACCAUUUUUAAAUCGAAUUUUGGAAAAUGAGAAUCGACUUUAAGAAAAACGAAAAUGGGAGUCGCCACCAAUCUUUUUAGGUAUGAUUGGAUCACCUUUAAAAUAUUUUGUUUUAAAAUCAUUAGUUUUGGUCUACGAAAUCAGAAGAUGGGUUCGGGAGCCGGUUACGUACGAGGAAGGGUUAGCACCCUCGUAACGCCCAAAAAUUGGUACCUAAUUGAUUAUCAAGUGUCUUUAAUGUCAGAAAUUUAAAAUUUUUAAGAUGUAAUCCUCUUUAAAAUAUUUUUAUUUUUUGUAAAUUGGAGUUCACCCGUAUCAAAGUAUUGACACUAAGUUAGCUUUUUAGAAAUCCCUAUCUCGAAACAACAAAACGUUACAUCCAGUAAGUUAGGACAUAUUGCUUUGCAAUUCCAAGACAGUUGCUCACAUUUUGAAAAACCUUGAAAAACUUAGAAAGUACUUGAUUAUUCGAACUCAACGAGAAAAGUCGCAACCCAAUAAGUUAGGGCACUACUUUCUUGAAAUUUCCCAACACCAAGCAUUGCCUUUAUAUUUUUGAAAACUUUGGAGCCUUGUUUUUUAAAAAUGAUGCGUGGGGAAUCGUAUUGUAUUAUAAAUCAUGCAUAGUAACAUAUUAUUGUAGUAGGUAAAUAAUACAUGCAUUUAAACAAAAUGAUGGCAAUAAUAUAAAGAUCGUGCAUUAGAUACAUAUAUAUAAAAAUAAUAUAUAUAUAGCAAAUAUUAACAAUAUGCAUACAAAGAUAUAUAUAUAGCAUGUAUUAGGAAUGAAUAAACAAAAUAUACAAACAUACAAAGUAAUAAUUAAAUAAUGCAUGAUAUACAAAAAGGUAAUAAUUAAAUAAUGCAUGACAUACAAAAAAAGAGUAAUACAAUAUCAAUGUACAUGUUCAUGAAAUGUAAUAUCAAAUAAUAAAUAUAAAAUAACAUAUAACACAUGACAUAUGCAAAAAAAAAUGAAAUGAGUUAUUGUUAACAAAAUAUACAUAUAAUACAAAUAAAGACAUCAUAUUUAAUAAUAAUCUUAAAAUAGUAGUUGCUAUACAAUAUAUAAAACAUAAUAACAAAAUAUUUAUAAAAGAACAAUAAUUAUAUAUAAACUAUAUUGGGUUUAAAAAAUAUAUAAAAUAAAAGUAUGUAAAAGAAUUUAUAAAAUAACACUUAACAUGAAAAUAUCAUUUUAAAAUAAUGUAUAAUAAAUAAAUAACUAAUAAUUUAAUAUGUGUAUAAUAUGAGUUAAAAAUAUAAUUUAAUUUAAAAUUUUAAAAAUUUUAAAUAAUAUAAUGAAUAAUAUAAACAUAAAUAAUAUAAUAGAUAAUAUAUGAUAUAUAUGACAUAUAAAAAAAUAAGUAAUAUAGAAUAAAAAUAAAAAUAAAUAAAUGUUAUAUAAUAAAAUAUAAUUUAAAUAUAUAAGAAAUAAGAAAUAUAAUAGAUAUAAUAUAAAAUAAUGAAAAUAUAUAUGUAAGAACAAUAUAUAUAAAUAAUUAAUAAAUAUAUAAUACAAGUAAAAUAUAAUAAUAAUAUAAAAAUAAUGAUGUAAAAUAAUAAUAAUAAUUUGUGAAAAAAAUAAUAUAUAAUAAAUAAUAAUAAUAUAUAUAAUAAAAUAAUCUUAUAAUGUAUAAUAUAAAAGUAAGGUAAAAAAAAUAAAACAAAUAACAAUAUAUAAAUAUAUAUAUAAUAAAAAUAAAUAUAGGGCUAAAUUUCAAGUUCAGCAAAAUUACGGGGCGAAUUUAAAAGAAAUAAAACUGAAUUAAGGCCUUAAUUAAAACGCGCGUAAAACAAAAGGGACUCAUUGGGCAAAUUGCCCUAUUCCCAAUAAGGCGACGUUUCCCAGAAUGUAAUUGAAUAACCGUUGGGACUAAAUUGAAACAAUUGUAAAAUAUGAGGGCCAAAUUAAAAAAUAGAAUAACACGUAAUUAUAAAUUAAAAGAGGUGGAAGGACCGAUUGGGUAAUUAACCCAAUUCUAAAAAUCACGCGAAUCCUCCCCGGGUAAUCGGGUCAACGCGCGAAUCCCAUGGCUUAAUACAAUACCGUUUUGAGCUUAUUAAGUUAAGCAGAAACGAUGUCGUUUCAAGGAGGCUAUAUAAGCCAAUUUUGCAGCUUAAAAAUCAUUUUAACAUCAGUCUUAAAAAAAGGUCUUGAAAUGCUCUACAGAAGGGAAGAGAGAGGUCCCCAGCUCUGGCCUCCGGCCACGGUGCAGUGCUUGCACACGCGCCUCACACGCCGUCGUACACGGUGGUCUGAAGGCUUAAAAACCCUCGUCCUUCCACAAGUAAUCUCUUUUCCCUUAAAUCCUUACUCGUACAUGCUAGAACAGUUCAUAUAUGUACAAAAUAAAGCACGAGAUAUGCGAUUAAAUCACUUUUUGAGAGACUGUUGGUAUUUCCUUAAACGAAUCUGUGUAAGUAUAUUUCUUUCUUCGUAAAAAAAAGGUCCCUUUACACUGUUUUGAUUCGGGCUUUUAUAGCCACUACUGUUAUUACAUAAACUGGGAAAGAAAUCGAAGAUUUCUUUCUAUUUCUUGUCUGCUGUAUCCCCCAUAUCUUUGAUUGUGAUCUGCUGAAAUCUUUUUAUUUUAGUUUCCUUUUUUGUUUUUUCGUAUCUGCUGUGUUUCCUUUUCUUUUGCAGGCACUUACGAGAAAUCUGGUGGUGACGAGGGCUAGUGUCGAUUCGCGCGUUGAUUUCGGAGGCAGAGUCACGGCGCUGAUGGGGGGUCACUGGAACGACAUGAGAGAUGAGCAGACGCGUCCGUUGAGAUGGCUUCUGGAAUCUUCCAUUUGCGGCGCGAGGAGAAAGAGCUAGGGUUAGAAACCCUAGCUGGUAACUUAAGUUUUAGGCCUCUGCUAUUUGGGUCUGAUUUAGGUUUGGGCUUCGGGUGUAUUUGGGUUGAGGUUGUAACUGUAAUGGGUUAAGGGUGUAAACGGGUUAAGGGAUAGUUUUAGGCCUGCUAGGUAGUAACCGGUCUGUUUGGUUAUAACGGGCCUGAAGUAUUUGGGCCAAAAGGGUUUGAGCUAAAGGGUAUUGGGUUAGUUUAGGGUCUGUUGGGCUGGUUAUUUUAUUUGGUUUUGUAACCUGGAUUGUUUAUAUUUUAAUGGACUUUAAUAAAUAAAUAUUUAUUUAUUUAUUAUUUUGCUUUUGGGUUUUAAAGCCCGGUUAAAUUUGGGCUACUACAUCGGUCACUCUCCGUUAAAUGGUUAACAGAAAUGAUGAUGUGACAUUUUUCUAAUUGAUAUAAUAACAUAUUUAGUGUUAAGUACUUACACAUUCUAUCAAUUUAAUUCUAAUUCUAAAUAAUUCAACAAAUUUAACCCUCGACAUUUACGAAUUCUAUCAAUUUGAUCCUAAAAAAUAUUUCAUAAAAAUCUAAAUAAAUAAUUAUAUUAAUUUAAAUAAAAUCUAAUUAAAAAUUUAUAUUAUAUUACUCUCUCUCUGUGGGGGAAGGUUUCGGAGGGAGAGGAAAUUUUUUAUAUUUUAUUUAAUAUUAAUAUAAUAAAAACUUUUAAUUAGACUAUGUAAAUAUUAAUAUAAUUUUUUAUUUAAUUAGAUUUUAAUGACAUGUAUUUGAGGAUCAAAUUGAUUGAAUGUAUAAGUAUUAAGAACUAAAUGUAUUAUUUUACCAGUUAGAAAAAUGAUACAUCAUCAUUUCUACUAACCAUUUAACAAAGAGUCAUCGAAAUAGAAAUAAUUUAAAACUUGAAUGAUUAAAAUAGAACUGAUCUAAAAAGUUAGUAACUAAAUUGAAAGCUUCCAUAAUUAGAUGACCAAAAUAAAAAUACGCUAAUAAUUAGAUGAAUAAUUUUAUAAUUUACCCAAAAAGCAGACCAAAGGGUCAUUGUGAUAAUCUAAAAAAUUGUACUAGUUUUCAUCGAAACUUGCAAGCAUAAAGCGGUAAAAUAAAUCUGUGUGCCACCGUCCUAAAAGAAAGUAGAUGAAAAAUAUAAAUCUGUGGUGAAAGUGACGAGUGAAAUUUCAAGAUUGACACUGACCAAUCAACAUAAAACCCCACAAUAUGGGCUAAUUUGUAAUUAUAUUUCAUCAUUCUAUUUAAUCAUCAUCUUUUUCCAUCUUUUUCUUUAUCUAGUUAUUAUUAUUCUGUCGAAAGUUCUAAUAUUUAAAUUAUUAUAUUAAAUUAAUAAACAUUUUAAAUUUAUUUUAUUUAAAAAUAAAAUCAAAACGUAGGUUUUUAUAUUAAGAUUCAGAGUAUAUUUUAUUUUUUUAUUUAAAAAAAUAAAAAAAUUAAUUUUUAUAUGUUAAAUAAAAAAUAAUUUAAAUUUUUUUAUUAAAAUAUUUAUUUAUUUCUAUCGUUAAAUUUUGACAUAACUAAUAAAAAAAACAUACUACUGUAUGUGUAUGUCAUUCUGACACAAUCUGACAAUGCUACCAUGAAACAUGUUAAACAUUUUAUUGGUACAUAAUUAAGACAAAUUAAGUUUUGUAGUAAUUAUUCAAGAUUAAAAAAGUUUUUGUAGUAAUUAAAUUAAGUUGAGACAAAAUAAAACAGAAUAUACUCCCUAUAUGCUUGCAUGAAAACGUGCGACGACCAAACAACUAUACUAACUGUUGUUUCCUAAUUACUCAAAACAAAAGACAAACUCUCAAUUUUCAAGCAUAAGUUUAAGAAAUUUAAUCCAUAAUUAAGAAAUCAUAGUCACGUGCUACAUUUUUACAUAUUCUCUUAAAUUUGUAACUUUUUAUAGUUGAGUGGCUAAAAAAAAUAAUCAUAAUUGAGUGACCUAUACUGCAAUUUACCCUAAAAAUAAAAGAUUAAAACAUACCUAUAUAAUGACUAAAUUUCAAAAUUUUAAAAAUUAUAAGGUUUUAACAAAAAUAAAAAUAAUUAGAGAAGAGAUCUAUGGUAAAUAUGUCUUAAAAAGUGUUGAAAGUACCAAUAAUAAUGCAGGAGUGGGGUAGAUAUAGUCCAGCACGUGAAAUUCUAACAAUAACACGUGUCAGAUAUAUAGAUCCCCACGUGGUAAUGUACGAGAUCUCCCUAAAAUAUUGAUCCAUCACUCAUUCCAUUUCCCCAUGCAUGUUCUUCUUACCCAAAAAAGGAUGGUGGUUUAAUCCAGAAAUAAAAAUAAAUAAAUUAAUAUAAAUAUUUUCUUUUACAAUUAUUAAAUAAAUUAAUCAUCUGAUAAAGUUUUAUAACAACAUGCAUAAAGAAGCUUGGAUAAGUACAUUUUUUAUAUUAAUAAAUUAUGUCGGCUAGCAAAAUAAAUAAAAAAAGGUUUUAUUGUUCUUUUUUUGUAAAAUGUAAUAUAUAUAUAUAUAAAAUGUUAGCAUAUGCAAAAGAAAAGUUGGUUUUUGUGUUGAAUGUCUUAUCUAUCCAUCUAUCGAAAAUCAUCACGGGAUGAUACAUUAUUCUUCACUUUUUGUUUUUCAUUAUUUCUUAUAUUUUUUGUUUGAAAAUUUUUCUCUACUUACAUAUAUUAUAUAAUUAUUUCAUCAAUUUUUUGAUUGAGUUAUAUCUCGAUUAGCACGGGCAUUGUUGUCAAUACAGGAAGACAUGAGCUCGAAUAUACUGAAGCACACUAUCCUCCUAUUUAUGAGUUGAGGAGCGGCUAUGGAUAGUUUUAGGUAAGGGCGAAACUAGAAAAUCUUUUUAGGGGCCGAAAUUAAAUUGUAAUUUUUGCGAUAGCAAAAAUAUAAUUUUACCAUUUUAAUAGCCUAUAUCUUUAUAAUUUUUAAAGGAUUAAAUCAUUUUUUUAUAUUUUUAAGGGGUCAAAGUACAACUUUACAUUUACUAAUAUAAAAUUUUAAAGGGCCUAACUGAAAAUUUUACCAUUUUAUGGGGAUCGGGGCCCUUGCCAGCCCCUAAUUUUGCCCUGAUUCCAGUCAUUGUAUUAAAAAGAGCAAAUAUGAUCAAAGCUUAUAAUGAUAUUAUUAAAUAUAUAUAUAUUUCAUCAAUUCUCUUUGAUGCACUUUAAUUUGCAGAAGAAAUGAAAAUAACAUUGAAAAUACUUAUUAAGAUUUUUUUUUAAAUACUCAUUCAAAUCGUCGUGAUAAUUUAUUUUUUCUAUUAGAAUUAUACGUAUGCAUUUGAUUGAAAUAAUUAACAAUAUUAAUUAGACUAAUUAAUUAUAUUAUAAAAGUAGAUAGGGUAAAUUAUGUCAAAACUUAAAGUAUAUAGAUUAAAUGUCAAGUUUCAACCUAGUGUAGAGGCCAAAAUUGAAAUUUGACCAUUGUAUUAUGAUGUAAAAAAUGACACAAAUCUAAUAGAAAUGGGAAGCUGCGUGUCAAACUAUAAGACUCUUAGGGUACUCAAAUUAUAAAUAACCACGUACCAAUAUUAAUUAUUUGGACUAAUUAAUAAUAUUAUAAAAACAUAAAAAUUAAAUUAUGUUAAAAAUUAAAGCAUAUAGAUUAAAUAUCAAAUUUAAGCUAAAAUUUAACCGUUUUUAUAAUAUGCAGAAAAAGAAAAGAACAAAGAAAGAAAAAUAAUUUGCUGUGACACCUAUAUUAAAUAUAAAUUUAAAUCUAAAUUUACUUUUUUUUUUUGAAGAAUCUUAUUAUAAGAUCGGAUAAUAUUUGUUCUUUUUGAGACAAUGCCUAUAACUAGUCAUAAUUCCUCCCCAAUUCAUAAAUAGAAGGAUAAUGU
RNAcentral lists this long non-coding RNA (16614 nucleotides) under Gossypium barbadense (sea-island cotton). RNAcentral describes it as "long non-coding RNA (GBAR_LNC004896)". Lineage: Eukaryota; Viridiplantae; Streptophyta; Magnoliopsida; Malvales; Malvaceae. The record is from RNAcentral.